This 283-nucleotide long non-coding RNA is filed under the name Mus musculus (house mouse). RNAcentral describes it as "long non-coding RNA chr13:99556205-99556488". The record is from RNAcentral. Lineage: Eukaryota; Metazoa; Chordata; Mammalia; Rodentia; Muridae.
UUGUACUGGCUAGUUUUGUGUCAACUUGACACAGCUGGGGUUAUCACAGAGAAAGGAGCUUCAGUUGAGGAAAUGCCUCCAUGAGAUCCAACUCUAAGGCAUUUUCUCAAUUAGUGAUCAAGGGGGAGAGGCCCCUUGUGGGUGGUGCCAUCUCUGGGCUGGUAGUCUUGGGUUCUAUAAGAGAGCAGGCUGAGCAAGCCAGGGGAGGCAAGCCAGUAAAGAACAUCCCUCCAUGGCCUCUGCAUCGGCUCCUGCUUUCUGACCUGCUUGAGUUCCAGUCCUG